RNAcentral lists this ribosomal RNA (376 nucleotides) under uncultured bacterium. Its description in RNAcentral is "bacterial SSU rRNA". It matches the Rfam family "Bacterial small subunit ribosomal RNA", at positions 524 to 898 of the family's 1533-position model. The record is from RNAcentral.
UACGUAUGUCCCAAGCGUUAUCCGGAUUUAUUGGGCGUAAAGCGAGCGCAGACGGUUAUUUAAGUCUGAAGUGAAAGCCCUCAGCUCAACUGAGGAAUUGCUUUGGAAACUGGAUGACUUGAGUGCAGUAGAGGAAAGUGGAACUCCAUGUGUAGCGGUGAAAUGCGUAGAUAUAUGGAAGAACACCAGUGGCGAAGGCGGCUUUCUGGACUGUAACUGACGUUGAGGCUCGAAAGUGUGGGUAGCAAACAGGAUUAGAUACCCUGGUAGUCCACACCGUAAACGAUGAGUGCUAGCUGUUCGAGGGUUUCCGCCCUUGAGUGGCGUAGCUAACGCAUUAAGCACUCCGCCUGGGGAGUACGACCGCAAGGUUGAA